Molecule: ribosomal RNA, 301 nt
Filed under: uncultured bacterium
Lineage: Bacteria
Description: partial 16S ribosomal RNA
Rfam family: Bacterial small subunit ribosomal RNA
Source: RNAcentral
CAGCAGCCACGGGAAUACGAAGGGGGCUAGCGUUGUUCGGAUUUACUGGGCGUAAAGGGCGCGUAGGCGGACUGAUAAGUCAGGGGUGAAAUCCCAAGGCUCAACCUUGGAACUGCCUUUGAUACUGUUUGUCUUGAGUUCGAGAGAGGUAAGUGGAACUGCGAGUGUAGAGGUGAAAUUCGUAGAUAUUCGCAAGAACACCAGUGGCGAAGGCGGCUUACUGGCUCGAAACUGACGCUGAGGCGCGAAAGCGUGGGGAGCAAACAGGAUUAGAGACCCGAGUAGUCCCUGUCUCUUAUAU